Molecule: ribosomal RNA, 243 nt
Filed under: uncultured bacterium
Lineage: Bacteria
Description: partial 16S ribosomal RNA
Rfam family: Bacterial small subunit ribosomal RNA
Source: RNAcentral
GUCCACGCCGUAAACGAUGUCAACUAGUUGUUGGUCUUAUAAAGAAGAUUAGUGACGCAGCUAACGCGAUAAGUUGACCGCCUGGGGAGUACGGUCGCAAGACUAAAACUCAAAUGAAUUGACGGGGGCCCGCACAAGCGGUGGAGCAUGUGGUUUAAUUCGAUGCAACGCGAAGAACCUUACCAGGUCUUGACAUCCAGAGAAUCUUUUAGAGAUAGAAGAGUGCCUUCGGGAAUUCUGAGA